Molecule: ribosomal RNA, 653 nt
Filed under: bacterium 96-L049658-122-015-H12
Lineage: Bacteria
Description: bacterial SSU rRNA
Rfam family: Bacterial small subunit ribosomal RNA
Source: RNAcentral
GCAGUCGAGCGAAUGGAUUGAGAGCUUGCUCUCAAGAAGUUAGCGGCGGACGGGUGAGUAACACGUGGGUAACCUGCCCAUAAGACUGGGAUAACUCCGGGAAACCGGGGCUAAUACCGGAUAACAUUUUGAACUGCAUGGUUCGAAAUUGAAAGGCGGCUUCGGCUGUCACUUAUGGAUGGACCCGCGUCGCAUUAGCUAGUUGGUGAGGUAACGGCUCACCAAGGCAACGAUGCGUAGCCGACCUGAGAGGGUGAUCGGCCACACUGGGACUGAGACACGGCCCAGACUCCUACGGGAGGCAGCAGUAGGGAAUCUUCCGCAAUGGACGAAAGUCUGACGGAGCAACGCCGCGUGAGUGAUGAAGGCUUUCGGGUCGUAAAACUCUGUUGUUAGGGAAGAACAAGUGCUAGUUGAAUAAGCUGGCACCUUGACGGUACCUAACCAGAAAGCCACGGCUAACUACGUGCCAGCAGCCGCGGUAAUACGUAGGUGGCAAGCGUUAUCCGGAAUUAUUGGGCGUAAAGCGCGCGCAGGUGGUUUCUUAAGUCUGAUGUGAAAGCCCACGGCUCAACCGUGGAGGGUCAUUGGAAACUGGGAGACUUGAGUGCAGAAGAGGAAAGUGGAAUUCCAUGUGUAGCGGUGAAAUGCGU